Molecule: ribosomal RNA, 446 nt
Filed under: uncultured bacterium
Lineage: Bacteria
Description: bacterial SSU rRNA
Rfam family: Bacterial small subunit ribosomal RNA
Source: RNAcentral
AACCAGACUCCUACGGGAGGCAGCAGUGGGGAAUAUUGCACAAUGGGGGAAACCCUGAUGCAGCGACGCCGCGUGAGUGAAGAAGUAUUUCGGUAUGUAAAGCUCUAUCAGCAGGGAAGAAAAUGACGGUACCUGACUAAGAAGCCCCGGCUAACUACGUGCCAGCAGCCGCGGUAAUACGUAGGGGGCAAGCGUUAUCCGGAUUUACUGGGUGUAAAGGGAGCGUAGACGGCAUGGCAAGUCAGAUGUGAAAGCCCGGGGCUCAACCCCGGGACUGCAUUUGAAACUGUCAGGCUGGAGUGCAGGAGAGGUAAGUGGAAUUCCUAGUGUAGCGGUGAAAUGCGUAGAUAUUAGGAGGAACACCAGUGGCGAAGGCGGCCUGCUGGACGAUGACUGACGUUGAGGCUCGAAAGCGUGGGGAGCAAACAGGAUUAGAUACCCGAGUA